RNAcentral lists this ribosomal RNA (450 nucleotides) under uncultured bacterium. RNAcentral's name for it is "partial 16S ribosomal RNA". It matches the Rfam family "Bacterial small subunit ribosomal RNA", at positions 354 to 796 of the family's 1533-position model. The record is from RNAcentral.
GUGGGGAAUCUUCCGCAAUGGACGAAAGUCUGACGGAGCAACGCCGCGUGAGUGAAGAAGGUUUUCGGAUCGUAAAGCUCUUUCGUUAGGGACGAACGUGCUCUUUGUGAAUAAUGAGGAGUAAUGACGGUACCUAAAUAAGAAGCCACGGCUAACUACGUGCCAGCAGCCGCGGUAAUACGUAGGUGGCAAGCGUUGUCCGGAAUUAUUGGGCGUAAAGCGCGCGCAGGCGGGAUAUCAAGUCUGUCUUAAAAGUGCGAGGCUCAACCUCGUGAGGGGACAGAAACUGGGAUUCUUGAGUGUCGGAGAGGAAAGUGGAAUUCCAAGUGUAGCGGUGAAAUGCGUAGAGAUUUGGAAGAACACCAGUGGCGAAGGCGACUUUCUGGACGAUGUCUGACGCUGAGGCGCGAAAGCUAGGGGAGCGAACGGGAUUAGAAACCCCUGUAGUCC